CCUACGGGAGGCAGCAGUGGGGAAUAUUGCACAAUGGGGGAAACCCUGAUGCAGCGACGCCGCGUGAAGGCAGAAGUAUUUCGGUAUGUAACGCUCUAUCAGCAGGGAAGAAAAUGACGGUACCUGACUAAGAAGCCCCGGCUAACUACGUGCCAGCAGCCGCGGUAAUACGUAGGGGGCAAGCGUUCUCCGGAUUUACUGGGUGUCAAGGGAGCGUAGACGGCGGUGCAAGCCAGAGGUGAAAGCCCGGGGCUCAACCCCGGGACUGCAUUUGGAACUGUGCUGCUAGAGUGUCGGAGAGGCAGGCGGAAUGCCUAGUGUAGCGGUGAAAUGCGUAGAUAUUAGGAGGAACACCAGGGGCGAAGGCGGCCUGCUGGACGAUGACUGACGUUGAGGCUCGAAAGCGUGGGGAGCAAACAGGAUUAGAUACCCGGUAGUC
RNAcentral lists this ribosomal RNA (439 nucleotides) under uncultured bacterium. RNAcentral describes it as "partial 16S ribosomal RNA". It matches the Rfam family "Bacterial small subunit ribosomal RNA", at positions 338 to 795 of the family's 1533-position model. The record is from RNAcentral.